GAGUUUGAUCAUGGCUCAGAUUGAACGCUGGCGGCAGGCCUAACACAUGCAAGUCGAGCGGAUGACGGGAGCUUGCUCCUUGAUUCAGCGGCGGACGGGUGAGUAAUGCCUAGGAAUCUGCCUGGUAGUGGGGGACAACGUUCCGAAAGGAACGCUAAUACCGCAUACGUCCUACGGGAGAAAGCAGGGGACCUUCGGGCCUUGCGCUAUCAGAUGAGCCUAGGUCGGAUUAGCUAGUUGGUGGGGUAAUGGCUCACCAAGGCGACGAUCCGUAACUGGUCUGAGAGGAUGAUCAGUCACACUGGAACUGAGACACGGUCCAGACUCCUACGGGAGGCGGCAGUGGGGAAUAUUGGACAAUGGGCAAAGCCUGAUCCAGCCAUGCCGCGUGUGUGAAGAAGGUCUUCGGAUUGUAAAGCACUUUAAGUUGGGAGGAAGGCAGUAAGUUAAUACCUUGCUG
RNAcentral lists this ribosomal RNA (460 nucleotides) under bacterium enrichment culture clone ALO1_GLFRUDD03HAVYO. RNAcentral describes it as "bacterial SSU rRNA". It matches the Rfam family "Bacterial small subunit ribosomal RNA", at positions 9 to 475 of the family's 1533-position model. The record is from RNAcentral.